AAUAGUCGAAAGACUGAACCAGCAACUUGGAAGAAUGGAAAAUGAAAGUCGUAUAAAGUUCUAGAUAAAAUAAAGAGAAUGACGAUUUUUUAUCUAUAAGUCUUGACCAAAUUACGUGCCAGCAGUCGCGGUAAUACGUAAAAGACAAGUGUUAUUCAUCUUUAAUUGGUAUAAAGGGUACCUAGACAGAUUACUAAGCCUUAAUAGGAACUAGUUUUCUAGAGUUUUAUGUGGGAAUAUACGAAUUACCAGAGGAGGGACAAAAUCCUAUUAUACUGGUAGGACGGGUAACGGCGAAGGCUUUAUUCUAAGUAAAAACUGACGUUGAGGGACGAAGCCUUGGGUAGCGAUAAGGAUUCGAUACCCUAGUAGUCCUUGGAGAAAAUUAUGAGUGCCAUAGGCUAGAUAAAUUUGGCCUAUAAAUGAAAGUGUAAGCACUCCACCUCAUGACUAAGGCGGAAAUGCACAAAUUGAAAUCAUUAGACCGUUUCUGAAACCAGUAGUGAAGUAUGUUAUUUAAUUCGAUGAUCCGCGAAAAACCUUACCACGCCUUGAAUAUUUUUAUACAAGUGCUGCACGGCUGUCUUCAGUUAAUGUCGUGAGAUUUUGGUUAAUUCCUUUAAUUAACGAAAACCCUAGCUUUAUUUAUAUUUAAAGUGUUUUUCUAUAAAUGGAAAUAAUAACAGGGACCAAGACAAGUCAUCAUGGCCUUAAUAGCG
This 719-nucleotide ribosomal RNA is filed under the name Cladophialophora minourae. RNAcentral's name for it is "SSU rRNA". It matches the Rfam family "Bacterial small subunit ribosomal RNA", at positions 370 to 1209 of the family's 1533-position model. The record is from RNAcentral. Lineage: Eukaryota; Fungi; Ascomycota; Eurotiomycetes; Chaetothyriales; Herpotrichiellaceae.